This 1656-nucleotide small RNA is filed under the name Pongo abelii (Sumatran orangutan). RNAcentral's name for it is "retained intron". Lineage: Eukaryota; Metazoa; Chordata; Mammalia; Primates; Hominidae. The record is from RNAcentral.
AAAACAAACAUAAAAACCCAACAGAAUAAGUUUGCCAACCUGAGUACAGGAAGACCCUUAGGAGUAGUUAAAUUUUAACUUUAAAGAAAAUUUGUCUCACCUAAGAAAGAACGAAGGUCGGUAGGCUCAAUGAGACUUAAGUAAAACUAGCGCCACCAAAGUCUUGCUUCCUCCUCUCUCCUUGUCCCUUCCCCAUGCAGCCAUCGCGCUCCUCAAGGACCAGGAGCCAGGGGCCUUCAUCAUCCGCGACAGUCACUCCUUCCGAGGCGCCUACGGGCUGGCCAUGAAGGUGUCUUCGCCACCUCCAACCAUCAUGCAGCAGAAUAAAAAAGGAGACAUGACCCAUGAGCUGGUCCGGCAUUUUCUGAUAGAGACCGGCCCCAGAGGAGUCAAGCUCAAGGGCUGCCCCAAUGAGCCAAACUUCGGAUCACUGUCUGCCCUGGUCUACCAGCACUCCAUCAUCCCAUUGGCCCUGCCUUGCAAGCUGGUCAUUCCAAACCGAGACCCCACAGAUGAAUCAAAAGAUAGCUCCGGCCCUGCCAACUCAACUGCAGACCUGCUGAAGCAAGGGGCAGCCUGCAACGUGCUCUUCGUCAACUCUGUGGACAUGGAGUCACUCACUGGGCCACAGGCCAUCUCUAAAGCCACAUCUGAGACAUUGGCUGCAGACCCCACGCCAGCUGCCACCAUCGUUCACUUCAAAGUCUCUGCCCAGGGAAUCACUCUGACUGACAACCAGAGAAAGCUCUUUUUCAGACGCCACUACCCCCUCAACACUGUCACCUUCUGUGACCUGGAUCCACAGGAAAGAAAGUGGAUGAAAACAGAGGGUGGUGCCCCUGCUAAGCUCUUCGGCUUCGUGGCCCGGAAGCAGGGCAGUACCACGGACAACGCCUGCCACCUCUUUGCUGAGCUUGACCCCAACCAGCCGGCCUCUGCCAUCGUCAACUUCAUCUCCAAGGUCAUGCUGAACGCCGGCCAAAAGAGAUGAACCCUGCCCCUUGCCCAGGGCCAGUGCCAUGGGGAAGGGGUGCGUGCCGAGGGGACCCAUGAAUCCUGACCACUCUUGAACCCAGAAGGAGGACUUUGGGCCAAUUUCGGAGGAGAGAAGAAAGUGCAACGUGGGGAGAGGGAAGUGAACUGCAGAGGGGAGGGGGAAGAGAGAGAGAGAGAGAGAGAGAGAGAGAGAGAAAGAAAAAGAUGGAGGAGAAGAACUUGGAUUCCCCUGGGUAGAUGGAAACUGCAAAAACCCAAAGCCUCCAAAACUAACCAGGUCCGCCUAACACCCCCUCCCUCCCCCAAGAAGAUGGAUGUCCUCAAAAGAGAAGGAAAAAACCUCCUUGGGAAUCCACAUUUUUGGGGGGAAUGGAAAAGCUCUGUCUCCCUAACUCAACUGCUUUGCAAGGGGAAGUCAAGCUGGGAGAAUCUUUUUCUGGCCACCUGUAGGGUAGAUUGUCAAACCAAACAGAGCCACCGUGGGACAUCAAGUGGCAGAACUUGUUCACUUGAAAGUAUCUCAGACCCAAGGCACCUCAGGUCUCUUUGCCGUGCCUCCACUCUAUUGUCGUGUGGGUGUGUGUCUGCACCCACAUCCUCAUAAAUUGAUCUAGAUCUGCCUUUAUCCACUCAAAUUAUAAACAGCUCGGCUUGUCCUUG